GGUCCGCUGGUGUAACUGGUAGUACGCCUGGUCUAGAGAAUACGCUACUCGGCAAACUAGUCUGGGGGAUCAGGAAACCGCCGGUUCGAAUCCGGCGCGGACCA
Molecule: non-coding RNA, 104 nt
Organism: Neurospora tetraspora
Lineage: Eukaryota; Fungi; Ascomycota; Sordariomycetes; Sordariales; Sordariaceae
Source: the annotation of a RefSeq genome assembly